UAGAGUUUGAUCCUGGCUCAGAAUGAACGCUGGCGGCGUGCUUAACACAUGCAAGUCGAGCGAGGCCAGGGGGGCAACUCCCUGAGUCGAGCGGCGGACGGGUGAGUAACACGUGGGUAACCUGCCCGGAAGUGGGGAAUACCUCGGGGAAACUCGAGCUAAUUCCGCAUGACAUCUUUGGGACGAGAGUCCCGACGAUCAAAGCGGGGUCGCAAGAUCUCGCGCUACCGGAUGGGCCCGCGCCCGAUUAGCUAGUUGGCGAGGUAACGGCUCACCAAGGCUUCGAUCGGUAACCGGCCUGAGAGGGCGAUCGGUCACACCGGAACUGAGACACGGUCCGGACUCCUACGGGAGGCAGCAGUGGGGAAUCUUGCGCAAUGGGCGAAAGCCUGACGCAGCAACGCCGCGUGGAGGAUGAAGGCCCUUGGGUUGUAAACCCCUGUCGGCUGGGAAGAAAUCGUUCGCGGCUAAUACCCGCGGACGUUGACUGUACCAGCAAAGGAAGCCCCGGCUAACUCUGUGCCAGCAGCCGCGGUAAUACA
RNAcentral lists this ribosomal RNA (542 nucleotides) under uncultured soil bacterium. RNAcentral's name for it is "bacterial SSU rRNA". It matches the Rfam family "Bacterial small subunit ribosomal RNA", at positions 1 to 527 of the family's 1533-position model. The record is from RNAcentral.